CAGCAGCCGCGGGAAUACGUAGGGUGCGAGCGUUAAUCGGAAUUACUGGGCGUAAAGCGUGCGCAGGCGGUGAUGUAAGACCGAUGUGAAAUCCCCGGGCUUAACCUGGGAACUGCAUUGGUGACUGCAUUGCUAGAGUAUGGCAGAGGGGGGUGGAAUUCCACGUGUAGCAGUGAAAUGCGUAGAGAUGUGGAGGAACACCGAUGGCGAAGGCAGCCCCCUGGGCCAAUACUGACGCUCAUGCACGAAAGCGUGGGGAGCAAACAGGAUUAGAUACCCCUGUAGUCCCUGUCUCUUAUAC
Molecule: ribosomal RNA, 301 nt
Filed under: uncultured bacterium
Lineage: Bacteria
Description: partial 16S ribosomal RNA
Rfam family: Bacterial small subunit ribosomal RNA
Source: RNAcentral